Molecule: ribosomal RNA, 482 nt
Filed under: uncultured bacterium
Lineage: Bacteria
Description: partial 16S ribosomal RNA
Rfam family: Bacterial small subunit ribosomal RNA
Source: RNAcentral
GACGAACGCUGGCGGCGUGCCUAACACAUGCAAGUCGAACGGAACUGUUUUGAAAGAUUUCUUCGGAAUGAAUUUGAUUUAGUUUAGUGGCGGACGGGUGAGUAACGCGUGAGUAACCUGCCUUCAAGAGGGGAAUAACAUUCUGAAAAGAAUGCUAAUACCGCAUGACAUAUCGGAACCACAUGGUUUUGAUAUCAAAGAUUUUAUCGCUUGAAGAUGGACUCGCGUCCGAUUAGUUAGUUGGUGAGGUAACGGCUCACCAAGACCGCGAUCGGUAGCCGGACUGAGAGGUUGAACGGCCACAUUGGGACUGAGCCACGGCCCAGACUCCUACGGGAGGCAGCAGUGGGGGAUAUUGCGCAAUGGGGGCAACCCUGACGCAGCAACGCCGCGUGAAGGAUGAAGGUUUUCGGAUUGUAAACUUCUUUUAUUAAGGACGAAAAAUGACGGUACUUAAUGAAUAAGCUCCGGCUAACUACGUG